AGAAAAGUCAUAAUGUAGUUUUCUAUGUUUUUUUAUGCAAAAAUGCAUCAUGACUUUUCCA
This 61-nucleotide microRNA precursor is filed under the name Tupaia belangeri chinensis (Chinese tree shrew). RNAcentral describes it as "Tupaia chinensis (Chinese tree shrew) microRNA tch-mir-9771o precursor". Lineage: Eukaryota; Metazoa; Chordata; Mammalia; Scandentia; Tupaiidae. The record is from miRBase by way of RNAcentral.